Molecule: ribosomal RNA, 142 nt
Filed under: uncultured soil bacterium
Lineage: Bacteria
Description: partial 16S ribosomal RNA
Rfam family: Bacterial small subunit ribosomal RNA
Source: RNAcentral
AGGACGAACGCUGGCGGCGCGCUUAACACAUGCAAGUCGAACGUGAAGCCCGGGCUUGCCUGGGUGGAAAGUGGCGAACGGGUGCGUAACACGUGAGCAACCUGCCCCGAAGACCGGGAUAACAGCGGGAAACCGCUGCUAA